CUUUUGCUGGCGACCGGCGCACGGGUGAGUAACACGUAUCCAACCUGCCCUUUACUCGGGGAUAGCCUCUCGAAAGAAAGAUUAAUACCCGAUAGCAUAAUGAUUCCGCAUGGUUUCAUUAUUAAAGGAUUCCGGUAAAGGAUGGGGAUGCGUUCCAUUAGGUUGUUGGUGAGGUAACGGCUCACCAAGCCUUCGAUGGAUAGGGGUUCUGAGAGGAAGGUCCCCCACAUUGGAACUGAGACACGGUCCAA
RNAcentral lists this ribosomal RNA (251 nucleotides) under uncultured bacterium. RNAcentral describes it as "partial 16S ribosomal RNA". It matches the Rfam family "Bacterial small subunit ribosomal RNA", at positions 78 to 334 of the family's 1533-position model. The record is from RNAcentral.